UCAAACGUACACAUAUAGAGGAAAAGCGCCGCGUCUCUGUCUCUCAGCGGUAUGGAUGUACGCGGAUCUGAGGCCUGCUGCACGCUUUGAUGUGUGUGGUGUUUAGGGUAAUGGAAGAACCAAAGACUUCAGUAAACGAACAUGAACACCAUCAGAUGUUUACAGGGCUCUUGCUGAUGGUGACACGACGGAACAGUGUUCUCCGUUUACCCGGAAAGAUUGGGUAUCAGCAUCCUGACACACCUGGAUCUACU
Molecule: long non-coding RNA, 254 nt
Organism: Sinocyclocheilus rhinocerous
Lineage: Eukaryota; Metazoa; Chordata; Actinopteri; Cypriniformes; Cyprinidae
Exons: 3
Source: RefSeq, a predicted model, not a curated record